CAACCAUAAUUCACAUGAAGAUAUAUAUAUAAUGGCUGAAACACCAAAAUCACAACCAAGCAUAACCAUCAUCAAAACGAAGCAUUAAAUCCGAACAUAACAAAGUAUUAAGCCAUUUUCGCAUGGCUCAUGAUUACAUUAACCAAAAUCAAACAUUUCAAAAUAUAAUCCAUCCUAUACAUGCCAUAGUUUCAAAAAUUCAUCUUAUAAAAUACCUAAGACAGUCGAUAGUGUGAUAGACUUUGCUGACGAUCCCCGAGCUCGUAACUUGAAUCCAAAAUCUAUAAAACAGAGGUAAACAUGAACACACACAGUAAGCUAUCAUAGCUUAGUAAGUCAUAAGCAAAUAAAUAACUAAUUAACAUAAUCAAUUCAUUUAAACUAAACCUAAUUAUACUAUCAUAAUCACUUUAAAUCUUAAGCUUACAAUUUCAUGUAUUAUAUAUACUUUCACAUACAAAUUAUUCAUGGCCGAAUGAAUAUAUAUAUACAUUAACAAACUAUCAUUCAAUUUCCAAGCCAAAAUAUCUUUAUCAUACCAAGUACAUAUACACUUAUAUUCAUAUACUCAUAAGUCGGAGUAUAACAAUCACAUACAUAUUUAUAUCAAAUGGCCGAAUAUACCACCAAAUGCACAUAUGUUUACAUUAGUAAUUUAUAUUAUUUGAAUCACAUAUUAAAUGGCCAACUUACCUUAUUUUCAAAUAGGUAAUUAACUAACUCAUACCUGAUAGUUUUAGCUCGUUUUACACCUUCGUUCACAACAUAUCAUUGCCCGUUGAACCAUUCGGAAUUGAAUAGGAUACUUGGAUAAUAACAUAUACCAUACAAUACCAACAUCUCAGACGUGGUCUUACAUGUUAUCUUAUAUAGAUGACACUGUCCUAGAUAGGGUCUUACAUGAAUCGAAUACGAUGUCGAUGUCCCAGACAUGCUCUUACACGUAACCACAUAUAUCGAUGCCAACGUCCCAGACGUGGUCUUACACGAAAUCACAUUUAUUGAUGCAAAUGUCCCAGACGUGGUCUUACAUGAAAUCACAUAUAUCGAUGCCAACGUCCCAGACGUGGUCUUACACAAAAUCACAUAUCAGAAUCCUAUGGUUCGUACGGGACUUUCGGACGUCAUAACUCAGUCGAAACAAAUUCGUUAACAUAGCUCCCAAGCUUAUUUACAUUCGGCUAACAUAUAUAUAUUUUAAAUAAUUCAUUUCAGCAUAUAGAACUCAUAUUUAUUUAAAAUUAACAAUAUCUAUUUGCUUAUAAACUUACCUCGGACGAUGAAAAUCGGAACGGGACGACUAGUCGACAAAUUUGGUUUUCCCCUGAUCCAAAUCUGAUUUCUUUGGUUCUUGAUCUAAACAUAUUCUAACUAAACUCAUUCAAACAUAUUUUCACUCAAUUUAGUCCACAAACACAUAAAUGGGCAAGUUACCAUUUUACCCCUAAUAUUUCACACUUUUUACAAUUUAGUCUAAAUUGCACAAAACACAAAACAUGCAAAAUUUGCACACACCAUGCCUAGGGCGAAUGUUCCUAGUGUUCAUACAAGUCCAUACAUUUUAUUUAUUUUACAUUUUAGUCCCUCAAUUUAUUAUUUUUGCAAUUUAGUCUUAAUUACUCAAAAUCAUCAAAAAUUCCAAUACAAAACUUGUUAAUCCAAAACAUAUCUUUCAUAUUUCAUCUACUAACAUCACAUAGCUCAAAUAUUCAUCAAUGGCAUGACACAAAAUAUUCAUCAAAAUAAAAAAUUCAAGCUUGGGCUUUGUAGAUAACAUAGCAACGAUCUCAAAAACGUAAAAAUUAUAAAAAAUCGAGCUAGUUACAUACCUUGAGAGCUUAGCAAUGGUCGAACAUAAAACAUUAUUCUUUUCUUUUUCUUUUAGGUUUCGAAAAAAAAACAUUAUGAAACCAUAUAUUUAUUUUUAUGUUUUAUUAUAACAUUAUUAUUUACCAUUUUACAUUAAUAUCCUUUAUAAUUUAAUAACUAAAAUAUGUAUAUCAAGGAUACAACCGUCCAUCACUAACUCCAAUGGUAUUAUUGCAACAUAAGUACUUCAUUAAAUAAAGACAACAUCAAUAGGGACCUUUUACAAUUAACCACCAAAUUUUCAUUGUACGCGAUUAAGUCUUUUUAUUUAAUCGGGCACUCAAACGACAAAAUUAAAGCACGAAAAUUUCACACAUAUAAAUUCACACAUAAUAAACACAAAAUAAUAUUAAAAUAUUUUCUGACUCGAAUUUUUGGUCCAAAAACCACUGUUUUGAAUAGGGUCUAAAUCGGGCUGUUACAGUAAUGAUCCAAAUUUAAGGAGAACAUAAGUGGAAAACAGUCAGUGGUAGGCGAUGAACUUUAUAUCCAAGUAUGUGAAUAAUUGUGAGAGUUACGUCGGUUAAGGUAUAAAGAAAUUUGGGAUAAGGCAGGAUCAGGCUAAGACCAUAGAGAACCAUUUUUGUAAAGGUCUUGCUUGCAUAUAAGAUAGAGAAAUAAUCCACCAACAGUGAACUGCGAAAAAUAACAAGGCGUCAACCACGCUUGUGAGAUCUGAGGAAUGUCAAAGAUAGAUAGUAAGUUUGAAAUAUUUGUUUUAAGUCUUAUCUCUUGAAGAUUACGGAAUAUUUUUGUUGCAUUGUUUUACAAAAUCUCACUAAGUUCAAUUGAACUUACGAAUUUACUGUUUGCUUGCAAGAUAAAUGUUUUGACUCGGUAAUUGAGUGGAGGGAUCACGCCAGACAUCGCCAAAUUGUGGGAUGGGCAUAGAAGUCGUUCAUGUAUAUAGAGGGGAACCCCUUAAGGCCACACCUUGGGGAUUAAAUUAGUGUAUCUGUGUUUAAGUCUCAAAUAAAAAUUUAUGAAUAACUAAUAUGCUUACUAAGGUAGAAAGUUUGUAAGUUCUUACUGCUUGUAUGAUAAGGGAUUUUAUCAAAAUCUAAAUUCUGGAAUCUAAUGUAAAUCCUGAAAUUAUUAAGAUUGAAUAGUGGCAAUGUAAGUAAAUCAAGUUAGAGGAUUUGUUAAGCCGUUCGAGUUACUUGUGACACUUGGUAACCAUGACCUAGUGAUUGGGUCGAAUAUAGGUGUUACAAAUUUAAUGGUAUCACUAGUUUUGGACCUAAUUUCCUUACUUCCUUUGUAACUAAGAUUAGUGAUUUAGACUUAAUAAGAGAUUCUAUUGCUCAUGCUUUUUUUAUAGAUGUGAAUCCAAAAACUAAUGAUGAAACGAUAAAAUCAAUAGAUGUGAGUUUUUGGAGAGAUGCUAUUAAUAAUGAGCUAGUAUCUAUUAUGUCUAAUCAUACUUGGUAAUUAGUAGACUUGUCUAAAAGUUUUAGACCUAUCAGUAACAAAUGGGUCUUUAGGAAGAAACUUAGACCAGAUGAGUCAAUUAAAAUGUAUAAGGCACGACUAGUUGUUAAAGGAUUCACUCAGAAAUUUGGAAUAAAUUAUUUUGAAGCAUACUCUCUUAUGAUUUAGAUCUCAACUAUUCAUGUUUUUUUUAUUAGCUUCAUUCACAAUUUGUUGGUACAUUAGAUGGAUGUUAAGACAACUUUCUUGGACGAGGAUUUGGAUGAGGAAAUCUACAUGAAGCAACUUUCAAGGUUUGUGGAACCUGGUAUGGAAGAUAAAGUUUGCAGACUCGAAAAAUCUUUGUAUGGUCUCAAACAAGCUCUAAAAUAAUGGUAUGAGAAAUUUCAUAAGACUAUUCUCAGUUUUGGUUUUAUUGUUAAUGGUGCAGGUACAUGUGUGUAUUCUAAGAUGUUUGGUUAUGAUUGUGUUAUCAGAAGUUUAUAUGUGGAUGACAUGUUAAUUUUCAAUUCCAAUAUAGAAGCCAAUAAUAAAACCAAAAUUUCUUAUCUACUAAAUUUGGAAUGAUUGAUUUGGGAGAGGUAGAUGUAAUCUUAGAUAUUAAGAAUACUAAAUCAGAAAAGGGAUUUACUUUAAACAAAUCUCAUUAUAUUGAGAAAGUGCUAAAAAAGUUUAAUAGCUUUGAUGUAAUCCUUGUGAGAACUCAUUAUGAUUCUAGCAUACAACUGUUAAAAAAUAAAGAAAAUAGUGUUUCUCAAUUAGAGUAUGCUAAAAUAUUGGAAGUCUUAUGCUCUUAAUGAAAUAUACUUGGUCUGAUAUUGCUUAUGCAUUCAGUAGACUAACUAGAUAUACCCAUAACCCUUGCAAUGAGCAUUGGAAUGCUCUAAAGUGAUUGCUUAAGUACCUUAAAGGUACAAUAACUUGGGAGUUGGUUUUAUCGGAUACCUUGCAGUCCUAAAGGGAUAUUGUGAUGCAAACUAGGUAAUUGAUAAUGAUGAAAUGAACUCUACAAGUAGGUAUGUUUUUACUUUGAGAGGGGCAACUAUUUCUUAAAAGUCUACUAAACAGACUUGUAUUGCUCGCUCCAUAAUGGAGUCAAAGUUUAUAUUUCUUGACUUAGCUGAGCAAAAGGCUAAGUAGCUUAGAAAUCUACUUACAAAGAUUCUUUUAUGGGAAAAUAGACACCUUCUAUACCUCUAUUAUGUGACUCACAAGUUGCAAUUUAUGUUGCUAAAAGUCAAGUUUACAAUGGUAAGAAUAGGCAUAUUCGUAUAAGAUAUGGAUUUGUGAGACAUUUAAUAAAGAAUGGAGUACUUUCUAUGGAAUACAUGAGAUCUAAAAGGAACCUAGCUGAUCUAUUAACCAAAGGAUUAAGUAGGAAAAUGGUUUUUGAUUCGUUGAGGGGGAUGGGUCUUAAACCCACUGGUUGAGGAAUUCAUGGUGGAUACGCAACUUCAUUCUCUAAGUUCAAUGAGGUCAAACAAAACCAUGGAAACACUCAUAAUGUACAUUUUAUCUAUCCCUAUGGCGAACGAUGUACAUGCAUAAGGUUGAGUUCUUACUCUUAAUGAAUUCAUAGCCCAAGGUUUGUGUGGUCCUAUUAAGACAGAAUUGAUAAACUCACCGACAUGUGAGGUUGAGUUUAUUACUCUUAAAGGUUUCAUAUCCUAGAGUUUGGAUGGUCCUAGCAAGAAGGACUUGAUGAAUUCACCGAAUUUAAAUUUGAGAGGAUGAGCUUAUAAAUGCUCUUAAUGAUUUCAUAGUCUUGAGUCGGAAGGUCUAUAUUGAGAUAGACUUGUUAAAAUCAUCUACGUAAGUGUGAAGAGACACCUUCUAAAAAAGACAUUGGGCAGUCUUUCUAGAGCACUUACCAGCAUCCCAAAGUGUAUUGGCUAAAACUUGUUGAUCUAUUGCGGAACAUAAAUUGGAUCUGAGAUUACUCGUGUGUCAUGAGUUAACCCCUAUCUUAACAAGUUAAAAAUUUCUUAAUUACUCAUUUCAUUCAAAUCCAUAAGAUAUUAGUGCUUAAGCGACUAAUUUUGAUGUUGCUCUUCUCAUAUCUUUUCUUGUGUUUACAGAACUUCCAAUUACUUUGCAUUAGUAGGGGAAUGUUAUUAAUGUAAAUUUAUUUCAGUAGUUACAAACCAUUAUUUCCAACAGUUACAAACCCUUUUUUUAUAGUUACAAAAUAUUAAAUAUUUUUCUGACCAUUUUACCUCUACUAAAUUACAUUUUUGCCCUUUCCAAAAUCUAAUAAAUAGGAGGCAUUUUUCCUUCAUUUGAUACACAAUGGAAAAAAACAAAGCUUCAUCUACUCUUUCUCAACUCUCUCUCAUUCUUUCUAAAACUUUAGAAUUUUUCUUAAAUUGCAUUAGAGGAAAUUCUGGCUAGGAGUUUGAGUUUUAAGCGGGACCGUCUGUGACCCCUCCAAACUUUCUUGGGAACUGAUCCUAGUGUGAUUUUUCCAAUUAAUUCUAUUUUCAGAUUAUUUCAGAAGAGCAAUACCAAUUGAGUUCUACCUUCCUUAUUCGGGUGUACGAAUAUCGAAGAACUGUGUUAACCUUGGGAGACGAAAUCCACUAUACGAUUACACCAAUCAUGGCGAAUUUAUUUUUAAGGCAGUAGUUCUUCCACGACACAUUAAUAAUUUAUUCAUUUAAUCUUCAUUUUUUUUCCAGUUAGUGCUAACGAAUUUGUUUUACAGUAGUAUAUAUUCCAACAAAAAUUUCUAAUUUUGUUAAUAAAAAUAAAUUUAAUAUUAAUUGUGAAUUUGUUAAAUAUUUUUGAAUUAUUUGCAUUAUGUGGUUAAAGUACUUGAAAGGUCCUUGUAAUAUAGGGGCUGAUAGAAUAAAAAAGUCCAAAAUGUAACAGAAUUAACUUUUACGGUAUAAAAAUGUGUUAAUUUUUUUUUCAAUUACAGUUCAAUUCCAAACAAAAGAUUUUACUUACAAAACCAUAAAAACUUUAAAAAUAUUAACUCUAUUAAACAAUAAGUGAUAAAUUUUUAAACUAAAUUUUUUAUUACUAUUCUAAUUUGGCUUUAUUUGAUUGUUUUUAGUAAUACGUGACUAAAUUAAUCUAUUUAAAAUAGAAAGACUGUGUAACACCCUAAAUUUGGGGCCUAGAAGAGUUGGGCUUUGAGUAUGGGAUUCGGAUAGAAGAAAACCUGAAUAAUUAAGAAGUUUUAAAUAUUAUCAUUUAAGGAAAAAUUUUGAAUUAAAUUACUACUAGAAAAUUUUUACUGUAUUUAUUAAUAUAGAUAUUUUAAAUUUUUAUGAAAUUUUAAUUAGUAUUAUAAGAUAAAAUUAUUAUUAUUAGAAAAAUAUUACUGUAUGUAUAUUUAAAAAAUUGUUAUGAAAAUUAUUAUUAUUUACUGUAUUAUUGAUAUUUGAAAUUUUUAUUAUUAGAUAUAUUUAUAAAAUUAUAUUAUAAUAAUUAUUAUUAGAUAGGAAAAAUAAAUAUAUAUUUAUAAAAGUAUUGUUGUUUUGGUGUUUAAACUCUAGGAAAAAAUUGUUUUAAUUUUUGCCUCUUUCUUUUGGCUUUGUAUGCGCUAGCAUGGACAAGGGGGCGUACAACGAAGGGCUUGAAGGUUAACUCGGUUGGACAUCUAGAUCUAACCCAUAUUUCGACAGAAAGGUAAGAACAUUGGGGUUUAAGGCACUGUUGGCCGAAUAUGGUAAGUGGUCUUGUACGUAGCUUGUUUUUGAUAUUUAGACUGACGUCUUAGUAACUCGAUUGUAGGCAACUCGUUUGUGGAUCUCGCCAACGUAUCGUUACAGAACAGGUGUGUAAACGACACCCACUCAUAGACUAGAUCGGUAAAAGCCGAAAAGUUGAAAUGCCGAAAAGUCAGCAUUCGUGAACUUGCGAGCGUGCGAGCACUUGGGAGGGGGUUUGUCUGUUAAUUUUGGUAAUCAUAAGCGGUAAGAGUGCAAAGUGCGCAAUUUUGUGCACUUCGGUAUAUUUGGGCUUAAUGGGCCGAAAACGAGGUAGUGGACCAAUGGGCCCAAUUCGGUAAAAACGCUCGGUAAGUGUUUCUGUUAAUGCGUUAAUGGUUAUAAUAUGUGUGUAAACUCUAGAAUACUAAAUUUUACUAAAAUACCCCUAAGUAUGAAAAUUACCAUUUUACCCCUAGGUGCAAAAUGACCGUUAUACCCCUAGGGUUAAUUUUGACUGAAAUGCAUGAUAUUCUGAUUCUGUUUGUUGGAUGCCAUGACAUGUAUAUCUGUUACAUGGGAUCUGGGUUAUGUUAUGAAGGAAGAACCCGUUCUGGUGGCUGUGCCACAUACUCUGAUAUAAGCAGCUUUGCUGCGGAUUAUAGUUAGUGCCGCAACCGGUGCUAACAUUGUAAGUGUAGGGAUGGCGUGGGUGAUUUAUUCCCCAUAGGAAGUGUAGGGAUGGACGGAGGCAAGUGCAGGGUUGGAUGGGGUUAUUAUGCAUUAAUCAUAUGAGAUUGUUUUGUUGUGGGCCAACUGUAUUGAAAUGGGCCCAACUGUGUUGAUAUGGGUAAGGCCCAAUAUAUCUUGACUUGUAAUAGGGCUAUGGCCAAGAUUUAUACUGAUAUGGGCUAGGCCCAGUAUACUCUGAUACUGUAAGGGGCUAUGGCCCAAAUUAAUAUUGAUAUGGGCUAAGGCCCAGUUAACUCUGAUUUCUGAAUAGGGCUUGGGCCCAGUAAAGCUUGAACUGAUUUGGGCUCUGGUUGGGAUACUUUACACACUGAGUUUUCCAAACUCACCCCCUUUUCCCAUCUAUGCAGGUGAGCCUUAGAUCGGUGGACUUGGAGCUGAAGGGAUUCAGAGUGGCCAUGUGGACUGUUUAAAAAAAGUGUUUAUACCUUCACUUUUAUUUUAGAUUAUUUCCUUUAUGUUUUCAGGUUUUUAAGGCCGCUUUAAUUAUUUUUAAUUGUUUUUAGUAUGUUUUGUUAGCUUAGAUAUGAUAUUUUUUUAAUUGUUUGAAAUUGAAUAGCUCUAGGGCGCGUUUUAAAAAGGUUACUUGAUUUCAAAAUAUCGCGAUAACAAAGCAAAGCUUCCGCAACGAAAACGUUUUCAAAAUUAAUAACCUUUUCAAAUGGUUUUAAACAAAUUGGUUUUCCUUGAACAAUCAUUCAGUUAAAGUGUGGCAAUGGUUGUGUGCAUGUCUAGGAUUGGAUCCGUGAAGAGCUGGGUACUUAAGUAGUCUAAUUGACUCACCUCCUCUUUUCUGGCAUCCUACCUGGUACUCAGCUUCCAUUCACUUUAAUCUUUAACGAAGAUAUUCUUUAAACACUAAGAAAGACUUUAGAUAAAACAUGACUUUUCUAGUAACGCUUCAAUGUGACACGCCGGAUUCGGUCGUAACGUCUAGGCCGGGUUUGGGGUGUUACAGACUGAUUUAAUUAAAUCUCUAUAAUAAAAUGACUUCUAAAGUACGUUAACCUCUUUUGUUCUUAUUUAGGUUAUUGGUUUGUGAUAGUACAUGUUGACGGAAUUCUUGUAGUGAAUGUUGAGCUUGAUCCGGUAGUAUGUGUACAUGUAUUCUUUUUAAUGAAAUUUCACCUUUAAGAAAAAUGUGUUUAACUUGUUAAGUAGAACCUCAUUGAUUUGUUAAUUGUUAAUAUUAUUAGUUAAUUGUAAUAUUUUAUUAAAUUUUUUUAAAUUCAAAUUAAGUAAUAAAAAUUAAGAUAUUUAUCAUUCGAUAUUAAAAUAUAUAAAAAUUUUCAAAUAUAAAUAUUACAUUGAAAAAUAAAACACAGAUGCUAUAUUAAAAAAUGAUAUAUUAAACUAUAAAAAUAAAAUAAAAUAAAAUAAAAAACACACAGAUUUUUACGUGAAAACCCUUUCGGGAAAAAAACCACCUGCAGAGGAGAAGAAAAUUCACUAUGUCGAAUUCGAAUGAUUACAAGAGGAAUAGACUAUGUCUAUUUAUAGGCUUGUAAAGCCAUAUUCUAGUAAGACUGAAACACCUUAUUCUAAUCAAUAUAAAAUAGAUGGAGUUUAAUAAGGUUUAAAAAAUCUUAUUCUAAAAUAAAAUAAAAGAAGUGUAGUUCUAUAUGGAUUUUACUUUUAUUUUAUUUUACCACUGUAUUUUAUUUAAAUAAGGAUUCAGGUCAUUUAAUUCUAACAAUCUCCACCUUGACACAAAUUCUCAAUGAACAACUUCUUCAUCGCGAACUUUCAACGAACAAGUUCUCCACCUCUUCCAUAAAACCCCUUAAGGGUUUAACUUCAACAAUGGACACCAACCAAGUCUAAGCAAUGCUCAAACUUGGUUAUAGGAAGUGACUUAGUCAUCAUAUCUGUAGGAUUUUCAUGAGUACUAAUUUUGCUCACAACAAUAUCACCACGAGCAAUAAUAUCACGAACAAAAUGAUACCGAACAUCAAUUUGUUUUGUUCUCUCAUGAAACAUUUGAUCUUUUGUAAGGAAGAUUGCACUAUUGACUAUCACAAAAUAUAGUACUGAUUUGAAGGUCUUCAUCGAGUUCACUAAAGAGUCCCUUCAACCAAAUAGCUUCUUUACAAGCCUCAGCAAUUGCCAUGUACUCAGCUUCAGUGGUAGACAAAGUGACUAUAGUUUGCAAAGUGGCUUUCCAACUGAUUGCACAACCUCCUAUUGUAAAGACAUAACCUGUGAGAGAUCUUCUUCUAUCAAGGUCUCCAGCAAAAUCAACAUCAACAUACCUAGUGACUCCAUCUCUAGUUCUUCCAAACUAUAAGCAAACAUCAACAGUACCUUGUAAGUAUCUUAAAAUCCACUGAACUAUUUUCCAGUGUUCUUUACUGGGAUUUACCAUGUAUCUGCUAACUGCACUGACUGCAUAUGAUAAAUAUGGACGUGAACAAACCAUAGCAUACAUGAGAGAUCACACUGCACUAGAGUAUGAAACAUGUGAUAUGUACUCAAUCUCAUCAUCUGAUUGUUGAGACAAAGCCAAUAAAAGUCUAAAAUGGGCUGCUAAAGGAGUACUAACAGGCUUAGCACUCUGCAUAUUGAACCUGCAAAGAACUUUCUCAAUGUACCCCUUCUAACUUAGGUACAAUUUACUUGUUUUUCUAUCUCUGAGAAUCUCCAUACCAAGUAUCUUCUUUGCUGGUCCUAAAUCUUUCAUCUCAAAUUCUUCACUUAGUUGGGCUUUGACCUUUCUUAUCUCUCCUUUAUCUUUCGCUACUAUCAACAUGUCAUCAACAUAAAGAAGUAGAUACACAAAAGAACCAUCACUGUUUUUCUUAAAGUAAACACAACUGUCAAAACUACUUCUUUUGAAAUUAUGAGAAGUCAUAAAGGAAUCAAACCUCUUGUACCACUGUCUUGGUGACUGUUUCAAACCGUAAAGGGACUUUUUCAGCAAGCAAACAUAGUCCUCUUUUUCUGAGACUGUAAAACCCUCUGGUUGUUGCAUGUAAAUAUCCUCCUCAAGUUCUUCAUGUAAAAAUGUAGUUUUUACAUCUAACUACUCAAGCUCCAAAUCAUGCAUGGCCACAAUACCAAGCAAAGCUCGAAUCGAACUAUGUUUAACAACUGGGGAGAACACAUCUGUGAAGUCCACUCCUAGAAUUUCAUUGUAACCCUUUGCAACAAGCCUUGCUUUAUAUCUAGGUUCUUCAACUCUUGGAGUCCCUUAUUUCUUUUUAAACACCCAUUUACAAUGAAUAGCCUUUUUACCUUUAGGAAGUUUCACAAGAUCCCAUGUUCUGUUUUUGUGGAGUGAUUCCAUCUCCUCUUGCAUAGCAAACAUCCACUUUUCUGAGUCUUCAUAGUUAACUGCCUCAAAAUAAUUAGAUGGCUCUUGAUUCCUGUCUAUAUCUUCAGCCACAUUUAAAGCAUAAGCAACUAGAUCAGCCUCAACAUACUUCUUUGGAGGUUUAAUUUCUCUUCUAGUUCUAUUUUUGGCGAUUUCUCUUCUAGUUCUAUUUUUAGCGAUAGAGUAUUGUGGUGAAGAAGUAACUCUAUUCUUAAUUUAUGUACUGGCUUGAGGAGUUGACUCUGUAUUAAUCUGAUGCUCCACCUGCUUUUGAUUUUCUCUAUUGGAAGAGUCUUUAAGAGAUAAGUUAGGCAGCAUAGCAGUUUCAUCAAAAACAAUAUCUCUGCUAAUCACAACUUUUCUAUUUUCAGGACACCAUAACUUAUACCCUUUUACACCAGCUUUAUAACCAAGAAAAACACAUUUAAUAGAUCUCGGUUCCAAUUUUCCAUUAUCAACAUGAGCAUACGCAGGACACCCAAAAAUCUUUAAAUCAGAAUAAUUAACAGGAUUACCAAACCAUACCUCUUGUGGAGUCUUUUUCUCAAUGGCAAAGGAUGGGGAUCGAUUGAUCAAAAAACAUGCAGUAGAGGCUGCUUCGGCCCAAAAUGACUUUGGUAAGAUGACAUUUGACAACAUACAUCAAACCUUCUCCAUGAUUGUUCUGUUUAUUUCAUUCUACAACGCCAUUUUGCUACGGAGUAUGGCGAACUGUCAAGUGUCUCACGAUCUUUUAUGACUUGCACAAUCUAUUAAACUCAUCAAAACAGAACUCUAAGCCAUUUUCUGUGUAGAAGUAUUUUUUUUGUUUUCCCGUCUAUUUUCAAUCAUAAUUUUCCAAGACUUAAAUGUGGAAAACACAUUACAUCUUUGCUUUAAGAAGAACGCCCAAACUUUUCUAAAAAAAUCAUCAAUAAAGGUUAGCAUAUAAUUAGCUCCACCUCUCGAAGGCACUCUAGAUGGCCCCCACAGAUCAGAAUGAAUAUACUCCAAUGUUUCCUUCGUGUUAUGGAUUCCUCUGGUGAAUCGAACUCUCUUUUGCUUCCCAAAAACACAGUGCUUACAGAAAUUCAGUUUGCAAAUUCAUUGCCCAUCAAGAAGUCCUCUUUUGCUCAAUUCUGCCAUGUCAUUCUCACUCAUAUGCCCUAGCCGCAUAUGCCAAAGUUUAGUAAUAUCAUCAUCAGACAAAGAAGAGGAAGCGACAGCUGCAUCACUAAUAAUAGUAGAACCUUGCAAAACAUAUAACUUGGCAAUCUUUCUCUACCCUUUCAUCACAACAAGGGAACCUUUGGAAAUUUUUAAAAUCCCACUUUCAGCUGUGUAUCUGUACCCUUUUGAAUCAAGAGUACUCAAUGAAAUUAAAUUUCUUUUCAAUUUUGGAACAUGUCGUACAUCACUAAGUGUUCUGACAACUCCAUCAAAUAUCUUAACUUUAAUUGUUUCAACACCUGCGAUUUUACACGAAGUAUUAUUUCCCAUCAAAACAAUACCUUUAGACACUGUUUCGUAAGUCGUAAACCAAUUCCGAUUGGGACUCAUGUGGAAAGUGCAGCCUGAAUCAAGUAUCUACUCCUCGCUCACUUGUGACUAGAAGUUCACCAUCGCUGUAGUCUUCUACAACAUUAGCUUCACCAGAAUUUUCUGGUUAUUUUCCCUUUAGAUUCGCAGCCUCCCUUUUAAUCUUGUUCUGUAGCUUAUAGCACUCAGAUUUAAUGUGCCCUAUUAUCUUGCAGAAGUUAUAAGUUUUACCUCUGUUUGAAGACUUUGAUCUACCCUUAGAUUUACCGCGAGAAUUCCGUUCCUACGUCCUUCCAUGAUCAUCAUCAGCAUUCCGAUAUUAUCUCCCAUGAACAAUGAGACCCUCUCCCUGAAAGUCGGGUUUAACCAUAAGAUGCUUCAUCUUAUCAUACGAGGUCAAAGAAUCAUAAAUCUCAUCAACUGUGAAAGACUCGUGACUAUAUAAAAUUGUAUCUCUAAAGGUUGAAUAAGACGGGGGCAAUGAACAAAGUAGAAUCAACCCUAAAUCUUCCUUAUCAUACUGAACCUCCAUGGCCUCCAAGUUUGAGAGAAUUUUUUUAAAUACUGUUAAGUGUUAGUGUACAGACGCACCUUCCUCCAAACGAUGAGCAUAAAUACGCUGCUUCAUAUGCAACUUGCUUGUUAGAGUUUUCGACAUACAUAUUUGUUCUAGCAUAUUCCAUACUGCAGCGGUGGUCUUCUUUUUCAUCACAUCCUGCAAAAUUUCGUUGGAUAAAUACAGAUGUAAUUGUGUUAAUGCCUUUCGAUCCUUACGCUUCUUCUUUUCAUCUGUUAAUGUCAAAGGCAUCUUAUCUAUCCCUAGCAGGGCAUCCUUUAGAUCCAUCUGCGCAAGAACUGCUUGCAUCUUAAUCUGCCACAAUGCAAAUCUGGUGUUACGAUCCAACAACGGAAUUCCAUACUUCAAAGACGCGAUUACCGUGAUCGAUAUGAACAACCCGAAAGCUCAGAUACCAAUUUGUGAAAAUAAAAUAAAAUAAAGAAUACACAGAUUUUUACGUGGAAACCUUUUCGGGAAAAAAACCACGGGUAGAGGAGAAGAAAUUUCACUAUGCCGAAUUCAAAUGAUUACAAGAGGAAUAGACUAUGUCUAUUUAUAGGCUUGUAAAGUCAUAUUCUAGUAAGACUGAAACACAUUAUUCUAAUCAAUAUAAAAUGAAUGGAGUUUAAUAAGGUUUAAAAAACCCUAUUCUAAAAUAAAAUAAAAGAAUUGUAGUUCUAUAUAAAUUUUACUUUUAUUUUAUUUUACCACUGUAUUUUAUUUAAAUAAUGAUUCGAGUCAUUUAAUUCUAACAUAAACAAUAAACUAAAAGAUGACAUGCUCUAGAUUUUUUUAAAAUAAAUUCAAAUUUAAUGACUAUAUCAUUGUUUGAUCAAAUAUAUAAAUUUAUAUCAUCAGUAGUUCUACUGUUAUGAUCUUAUCUUUAAUAUUGAAGAAAUCAGUUGAAUUAAAAAUAAACUCUUUAGAUAUUGGAUCUGACUAAAGAUCAAGAAUUGGGGCUUUGGAACCAAUAAAAGCUUAGUAAAAAAGGGUUUUAUUUUUAUUAUCUUUUUAUUUUUAUUAUCUUUCCUCUAAUUGGUCUCUUUGACAUAAAAAGUUGGGUAUAAUUGAUCUGCUCCCACGAAAAAGGAAAAUAGAAAUGGACUGACAAAAAUAAGUAAAUGUUGGGUUAAAAGCAAAUAUAUAAUAAUGGAAAUACAAGAUUUUAAUUACUGAGAUGAGCUUACCAGGAAUUAAUACAGUGAAUACUCCAUGAUUUCGUUGUUCCUCAGUAGUCUCAGGUUGUUUAGUGAAUUGAUGAUCAUGUUCCAUUGAGAAAGAGGCAUCAAUUGACCCCAACACCACACAUGAACUGACUCAGAUCCGACGCCCAUCUCAUAAUGUUGCUUAAGAUGCAGAGUUUGCAUGGCCAUACUCGAACUGUAAUUCCCAAUACACAGCAAUGGCAGACCCUCAGCCCUUGUAAUUUGGAUUUUCUGUACAGUACAUAAGCCGAAAACAUGAAAUCCCAUGGAUAUUAAAAGCAAUGCAAAAGGACCCAAAACCCCGCAUAACUAAAAUUAUAUAUGAAUAGGCUAAAAGAAAUAAAGAAACCAAAAGAAAAUGAUUGAUGAAGCAAAGAAACCAGAGAGAGACCGAAGUCAAAGAAGAAAAAGGACUCACUUACGAGUAAGAUGUAGUGAAGAAGAAAGGGUGUGGGAGUAGUUUCUUA
This 14768-nucleotide long non-coding RNA is filed under the name Gossypium barbadense (sea-island cotton). Its description in RNAcentral is "long non-coding RNA (GBAR_LNC003039)". Lineage: Eukaryota; Viridiplantae; Streptophyta; Magnoliopsida; Malvales; Malvaceae. The record is from RNAcentral.